RNAcentral lists this unclassified non-coding RNA (253 nucleotides) under uncultured Bacillaceae bacterium. RNAcentral's name for it is "contains 16S-23S intergenic spacer region". It matches the Rfam family "Bacterial small subunit ribosomal RNA", at positions 524 to 776 of the family's 1533-position model. The record is from RNAcentral. Lineage: Bacteria; Bacillati; Bacillota; Bacilli; Caryophanales; Bacillaceae.
UACGUAGGUGGCAAGCGUUAUCCGGAAUUAUUGGGCGUAAAGCGCUCGCAGGCGGUCUUUUAAGUCUGAUGUGAAAGCCCCCGGCUCAACCGGGGAGGGUCAUUGGAAACUGGGGGACUUGAGUACAGAAGAGGAAAGUGGAAUUCCACGUGUAGCGGUGAAAUGCGUAGAUAUGUGGAGGAACACCAGUGGCGAAGGCGACUUUCUGGUCUGUAACUGACGCUGAGGCGCGAAAGCGUGGGGAGCGAACAGG